This 367-nucleotide unclassified non-coding RNA is filed under the name fungal sp. RNAcentral describes it as "partial internal transcribed spacer region". The stretch from base 1 to 46 matches the Rfam family "Eukaryotic small subunit ribosomal RNA", at positions 1786 to 1831 of the family's 1831-position model. The record is from RNAcentral. Lineage: Eukaryota; Fungi.
AAGUCGUAACAAGGUUUCCGUAGGUGAACCUGCGGAAGGAUCAUUAACACGUAUCCAACGUAAAAAACCCCCCUGUGAACAUUCAAACCUGCUCUCGUAGCCCAGUGCGCGGGACUUCUGACAAAUGAGAAGUUACAGUUACGAUUGAGCGGAGAUAGCUGCAUGGCAUCCCGAAGCAGUCAGUGUCUGAAAGUGUCAUUGAUUGUCUAAGGAUCUCGCCUCAACGAUUGCCAGAGGUCGCUCACCGACCGGCAGACAUGCAACCGGGUCCCCACGCCCCUUUACAACCCCAUUACCUCUGUGAGUCGCGGGAAACUAGCGGCUAAAAAACCUCGAACAACUGUUAACAAUGGAUAUCUUGGUUCUC